CCUACGGGGGACAGCAGUGAGGAAUAGUGGUCAAUGGGCGGGAGCCUGAACCAGCCAAGUCGCGUGAGGGAAGACGGUCCGACGGAUUGUAAACCUCUUUUGCGGGGGAGCAACGGGGUCCUUGCGAGGGCCCAAGGAGAGUACCCGGAGAAAAAGCAUCGGCGAACGCCGGGCCAGCAGCCGCGGUAAUACGGAGGAUGCGAGCGUUAUCCGGAUUUAUUGGGUUUAAAGGGUGCGUAGGCGGGCUGUUAAGUCAGCGGUCAAAUGUCGGGGCUCAACCCCGGCCUGCCGUUGAAACUGGCGGCCUCGAGUGGGCGAGAAGGAGGCGGAAUGCGUGGUGUAGCGGUGAAAUGCAUAGAUAUCACGCAGAACUCCGAUUGCGAAGGCAGCAUACCGGCGCCCUCCUGACGCUGAGGUACGAAAGCGUGGGUAUCGAACAGGAUUAGAUACCCGAGUAGUC
RNAcentral lists this ribosomal RNA (460 nucleotides) under uncultured bacterium. RNAcentral describes it as "partial 16S ribosomal RNA". It matches the Rfam family "Bacterial small subunit ribosomal RNA", at positions 338 to 795 of the family's 1533-position model. The record is from RNAcentral.